Molecule: ribosomal RNA, 587 nt
Filed under: uncultured bacterium
Lineage: Bacteria
Description: partial 16S ribosomal RNA
Rfam family: Bacterial small subunit ribosomal RNA
Source: RNAcentral
UGGGGAAUUUUGGACAAUGGGCGAAAGCCUGAUCCAGCAAUGCCGCGUGUGUGAAGAAGGCCUUCGGGUUGUAAAGCACUUUUGUCCGGAAAGAAAUCCUCUGGGUUAAUACCUCGGGGGGAUGACGGUACCGGAAGAAUAAGCACCGGCUAACUACGUGCCAGCAGCCGCGGUAAUACGUAGGGUGCAAGCGUUAAUCGGAAUUACUGGGCGUAAAGCGUGCGCAGGCGGUUUUGUAAGACGGAUGUGAAAUCCCCGGGCUUAACCUGGGAACUGCAUUCGUGACUGCAAGGCUAGAGUAUGGCAGAGGGGGGUAGAAUUCCACGUGUAGCAGUGAAAUGCGUAGAGAUGUGGAGGAAUACCGAUGGCGAAGGCAGCCCCCUGGGCCAAUACUGACGCUCAUGCACGAAAGCGUGGGGAGCAAACAGGAUUAGAUACCCUGGUAGUCCACGCCCUAAAACGAUGUCAACUAGUUGUUGGGGAUUCAUUUCCUUAGUAACGUAGCUAACGCGUGAAGUUGACCGCCUGGGGGAGUACGGUCGCAAGAUUAAAACUUAAAUGAAUUGACGGGGUCAUAGCUGUUUCCU